Molecule: ribosomal RNA, 483 nt
Filed under: uncultured bacterium
Lineage: Bacteria
Description: partial 16S ribosomal RNA
Rfam family: Bacterial small subunit ribosomal RNA
Source: RNAcentral
GACGAACGCUGGCGGCGUGCUUAACACAUGCAAGUCGAACGCUGAAGCUCAGCUUUUGUUGGGUGGAUGAGUGGCGAACGGGUGAGUAACACGUGAGUAACCUGCCCCCUUCUUUGGGAUAACGCCCGGAAACGGGUGCUAAUACUGGAUAUUCACUGGUCUUCGCAUGGGGGUUGGUGGAAAGGGUUUUUCUGGUGGGGGAUGGGCUCGCGGCCGAUCAGCUUGUUGGUGGGGUGAUGGCCUACCAAGGCUUUGACGGGUAGCCGGCCUGAGAGGGUGACCGGUCACAUUGGGACUGAGAUACGGCCCAGACUCCUACGGGAGGCAGCAGUGGGGAAUAUUGCACAAUGGGCGAAAGACUGAUGCAGCGACGCCGCGUGAGGGAUGGAGGCCUUCGGGUUGUGAACCUCUUUCGCUCAUGGUCAAGCCGCAACAAUGGUUGUGGUGAGGGUAGUGGGUAAAGAAGCGCCGGCUAACUACGUG